GGCUCAGAGUGAACGCUGGCGGUAGGCCUAACACAUGCAAGUCGAACGGCAGCACAGGAGAGCUUGCUCUCUGGGUGGCGAGUGGCGGACGGGUGAGGAAUACAUCGGAAUCUACUUUUUCGUGGGGGAUAACGUAGGGAAACUUACGCUAAUACCGCAUACGACCUACGGGUGAAAGCAGGGGAUCUUCGGACCUUGCGCGAUUGAAUGAGCCGAUGUCGGAUUAGCUAGUUGGCGGGGUAAAGGCCCACCAAGGCGACGAUCCGUAGCUGGUUUGAGAGGAUGAUCAGCCACACUGGAACUGAGACACGGUCCAGACUCCUACGGGAGGCAGCAGUGGGGAAUAUUGGACAAUGGGCGCAAGCCUGAUCCAGCCAUACCGCGUGGGUGAAGAAGGCCUUCGGGUUGUAAAGCCCUUUUGUUGGGAAAGAAAUCCAGCUGGCUAAUAC
RNAcentral lists this ribosomal RNA (449 nucleotides) under Stenotrophomonas sp. RNAcentral describes it as "bacterial SSU rRNA". It matches the Rfam family "Bacterial small subunit ribosomal RNA", at positions 21 to 465 of the family's 1533-position model. The record is from RNAcentral. Lineage: Bacteria; Pseudomonadati; Pseudomonadota; Gammaproteobacteria; Lysobacterales; Lysobacteraceae.